CUUCGGGUCUAGUGGCGCACGGGUGCGUAACGCGUGGGAAUCUGCCCUUAGGUACGGAAUAACUCAGGGAAACUUGAGCUAAUACCGUAUAAUGACUCCGGUCCAAAGAUUUAUCGCCUAAGGAUGAGCCCGCGUAGGAUUAGCUAGUUGGUGAGGUAAAAGCUCACCAAGGCGACGAUCCUUAGCUGGUCUGAGAGGAUGAUCAGCCACACUGGGACUGAGACACGGCCCAGACUCCUACGGGAGGCAGCAGUGGGGAAUAUUGGACAAUGGGCGAAAGCCUGAUCCAGCAAUGCCGCGUGAGUGAUGAAGGCCUUAGGGUUGUAAAGCUCUUUUACCCGGGAUGAUAAUGACAGUACCGGGAGAAUAAGCCCCGGCUAACUCCGUGCCAGCAGCCGCGGUAAUACGGAGGGGGCUAGCGUUGUUCGGAAUUACUGGGCGUAAAGCGCACGUAGGCGGCUUUGUAAGUUAGAGGUGAAAGCCCGGGGCUCAACUCCGGAAUUGCCUUUAAGACUGCAUCGCUAGAAUUGUGGAGAGGUAAGUGGAAUUCCGAGUGUAGAGGUGAAAUUCGUAGAUAUUCGGAAGAACACCAGUGGCGAAGGCGACUUACU
Molecule: ribosomal RNA, 611 nt
Filed under: uncultured Sphingomonas sp.
Lineage: Bacteria; Pseudomonadati; Pseudomonadota; Alphaproteobacteria; Sphingomonadales; Sphingomonadaceae
Description: bacterial SSU rRNA
Rfam family: Bacterial small subunit ribosomal RNA
Source: RNAcentral